Molecule: ribosomal RNA, 254 nt
Filed under: uncultured bacterium
Lineage: Bacteria
Description: partial 16S ribosomal RNA
Rfam family: Bacterial small subunit ribosomal RNA
Source: RNAcentral
UACGGGGGGAGCAAGCGUUGUUCGGAUUUACUGGGCGUAAAGGGCGCGUAGGCGGUCAGCACAAGUCAGUUGUGAAAUCUCCGGGCUUAACUCGGAAAGGUCAACUGAUACUGUGCGACUAGAGUGCGGAAGGGGCAGCUGGAAUUCUCGGUGUAGCGGUGAAAUGCGUAGAUAUCGAGAGGAACACCUGCGGCGAAGGCGGGUUGCUGGGCCGACACUGACGCUGAUGCGCGAAAGCGUGGGGAGCGAACAGG